Molecule: long non-coding RNA, 2105 nt
Organism: Neopsephotus bourkii (Bourke's parrot)
Lineage: Eukaryota; Metazoa; Chordata; Aves; Psittaciformes; Psittacidae
Exons: 4
Source: RefSeq, a predicted model, not a curated record
CAGGCGUCCAAGUUCCAAAUGCAGAAGGGGAAGAAGAGGAUGUAGAAGAGCUCGUUGCCGAGCUCCGUGCCCAGACUGAAGAGAUAGUAGAGGAAGCGGCUGCGGGUGGAGAACUCCUGGCUGCCGUCCUCCUCCGUGUAUUGAGAACAUUCACAACACCACCAAGAGCCUCCUUCAUUCAAUCUGCUGAAAACGCCAAUGAGCCACCUCCCUCAGUCUUCCAUCUUCAGAAUAUUAAGUGCUACCAGUCCUGGGAAGGUUCUUCAGAAAAGGCCAGGUGUGCUCAACACACAUGGUGAUACUCAGAACAACUUGCUUGCCUUACUGCUGCACCCUGUUCAAGAUCUUCAGAAGUGCAGCAGCCAGAAUCUCAGUGGACAAUCUCCAUGACCACUUCCUGCAUGUCAAGACAUCCUGCAUGGCUGUAGAACCUGCAUGCUGUGCUGCACGUGUUUCUGAAUCCAGACCUGGCAUUUGACACCUAUGCCCUGCUUUUCCAGCUUCUGCUAUGGUCACCUGAAUACAGUGUUUCUUGGCAGGUUCCUCUCACCCAGCUUCUGAAAAAUAGAGCCAAAACUGAGAUGCUAAACUGGUGGUGGGUACAGUGUGCUUGGAAGGUACCAGUCUACCUUGGAGCAUGAGGGUAAGUGGAUAGGACCGGUGUGAUCUUGACCGCAGCCUUGUCACAGCACUCUUACAAAUAUACUGCAGUACAAGUGCUGCAGCAGUGACAGUCUAAGGAUAGAAGAGGUGAUAUUUUUUUAUUAGAAUGGCUAAUGUAAGUGAAAAAAGUGGUUAAACUUCUGGGUUUAAGAGGAUUCUGAGCCCAAAACCUUUGCCUGAGUUUAGCGAUGAGAUCUGGCUAAGGUCUAAAGGUCCGUAAGACCAUGACCCAGUCUUAUCAGGAGCCUAACAGACUCAUAAAACAGUCUGCUAAGCCCACAAAGCCCAUCAGGAAUGCAAGGCUUCAAGUGGGAUCCAAAAAGGCACUUUAGCAGCUGAUGCAAGACUUGAACAUGUUGGAGGUUCCUCAAGUAGAAAUAAGUGAUCCAAGAGACUCGACUCAGCUGGUUUUGAGGGCUGGGGGAGCUCAGCUUUGAAUUUUGAUUUUCAGGGUGGAACCUGAAGUUACAUCUCUUUGUGUAACAAACUUACUUUGUGCCUUAAGAAGAAGCUGGGGCACUUUGGAAGAUGGGAAAAUGUAGACUGGAAACCUUUUUUCACAUACAGUGCCAGCAUUAUAAAUGCAGCAGAAUGAGCCCUGCUCAGUUCAGAUUGCAGGUGCCUGUCUUCAGGAGACACCUUGCAUGAGUGGAGGCCAGUGUCUUUGCUCUGAAAGAUUUUGGGGUUCACAUCAAACUGUCAGUUCAACAUUAAGAUAGCUACCCCGUUGAAACACCCCACUUACGCAAUGCUGUACAGGAAGAUGUAAGUGUAUGGUGCCGGCUCAUGGAUGCUGCUGUAAGGUUCAGUCACUAAUUUGUCAGUGUAGAAGUCUUCAGGGGAGAAAGGGAACUGAAAAGGUUAGGAUAUUUACUUUGAGAAGUGUAGGUUUACUAAUUAUGAACCUAUUCCAGGAGAUUUACUACAGAUUUGCUGUGACUUCAGUGUUAUUAACCUGUUUUUCAAUUUUGGAGCUCUGCUGCUGUCCUUAAAUUAGCCCAUGACCUAACAAAAGUAUUUAAGCAUGUACAGCUUUAGUCAUCUAUGUGUUUCCACUGACUUCAGCAGGAACGAUCAGGUGUUAAAGGCAGCAUCAAUACCUAAGUGGUCUGCUGGAUUGCCAUCUUAUGCGCUGGGGACAAUGUCAUACAUAAUGUUUAGAUUAAAUGGGAGAAGAGGGAGCAUUUCUAACAUGAUUACAGUCAGAUUUCCUUCCAUGUUUUGCAGAGGAAAACAGUAUGCAAAUGCUGCACGUGCCUACGUGGAUUCAACCUUUCUUUCCUCUUUUUUUGAUGUCUCCAGUUCUGACAAACAAGUUGCCUGUGACUGCUGAAGAGAAAUUCUCCCUGAGGUUUUGGGCCAUGGGGAGAGGCACUGUGGAUUUAGGCAGAGCCCUGUUUGCCUGCUUCUGGCUACACUUUCCCACUCUAACACUCUUCCUC